Molecule: ribosomal RNA, 468 nt
Filed under: uncultured bacterium
Lineage: Bacteria
Description: bacterial SSU rRNA
Rfam family: Bacterial small subunit ribosomal RNA
Source: RNAcentral
CCCAGACUCCUACGGGAGGCAGCAGUGAGGAAUAUUGGUCAAUGGGCGGAAGCCUGAACCAGCCAAGUCGCGUGAGGGACUAAGGCCCUGCGGGUCGUAAACCUCUUUUGCCGGGGAGCAGUGGUCCGGACGCGUCCGGACCGGGAGAGUACCCGGAGAAAAAGCAUCGGCUAACUCCGUGCCAGCAGCCGCGGUAAUACGGAGGAUGCGAGCGUUAUCCGGAUUUAUUGGGUUUAAAGGGUGCGCAGGCGGAGGUGCAAGUCAGCGGUAAAAUCGCGGGGCUCAACCUCGCUCCGCCGUUGAAACUGGCGUUCUUGAGUGGGCGAGAAGUAUGCGGAAUGCGUGGUGUAGCGGUGAAAUGCAUAGAUAUCACGCAGAACUCCGAUCGCGAAGGCAGCCUACCGGCGCGCAACUGACGCUCAUGCACGAAAGCGUGGGUAUCGAACAGGAUUAGAUACCCCUGUAAAA